RNAcentral lists this ribosomal RNA (253 nucleotides) under uncultured bacterium. Its description in RNAcentral is "partial 16S ribosomal RNA". It matches the Rfam family "Bacterial small subunit ribosomal RNA", at positions 524 to 776 of the family's 1533-position model. The record is from RNAcentral.
UACGUAGGGGGCAAGCGUUGUCCGGAUUUAUUGGGCGUAAAGAGCGUGUAGGCGGCUUUACAGGUCCGUUGUGAAAACUCGAGGCUCAACCUCGAGACGCCGGUGGAAACCGUAAAGCUAGAGUCCGGAAGAGGAGAGUGGAAUUCCUGGUGUAGCGGUGAAAUGCGCAGAUAUCAGGAGGAACACCCGUGGCGAAAGCGGUUCUCUGGGCAUUACCCGACGCUGAGGAGCGAAAGUGUGGGGAGCGAACAGG